CAACCCCCGCGCCUCUGUAGAUCCGCCACCGAUUCAAAGAAUGCACAUGAUCCAUCAUGACUGCUCCUGUGUCUGACAUAUAAUUUUACACAUAACCUACCAAUGUUACGGAAGAUAAUGUGACAACUGAUCUUUCAUACACAGGUAAAUGUGCCUCACGUGAAUUGCUAUAGUUACACAGUCCAGGAGUUUCCCGGUUUCGGUUUGACGUGUGAGUUUUGGAAAUCUAAUAUAUUCCCCACAGUUCACCGUAGAAGAGUACCAGGUAUCGACUUUUCACAAGCUGCCAGACCCAUUUAUUCUGUGAUAUAUGCGUAAUUGGAGGAGGCAUUUCAUACAUAAUAUCCAUAGGUGUGCACACCUCUCUUCCUAACAUAAAAGAGUUUAGCGAAAAACCAGUAGUUCCUGUAUGCCAUCAUGACAUAAAGUACAGUGUAAUUGGUUUUUCCACCUUUGCCAUUGUCAAAAUUCCUUUCGACAAGUCCAGUCUACAAACGUUCGUCCUCAUCAAAUAUAAUUCAAGAAUGCCAUCAACAGUUAGGUCAGCAAUAACAACUUUCUGUGAAAAUAGUACCCCCUUGUAGAGUUGUAUCCCAUGUACCUUCAAUGUUGACCAUCUGCAAUAAA
Molecule: long non-coding RNA, 627 nt
Organism: Ostrea edulis (European flat oyster)
Lineage: Eukaryota; Metazoa; Mollusca; Bivalvia; Ostreida; Ostreidae
Exons: 3
Source: RefSeq, a predicted model, not a curated record